This 480-nucleotide ribosomal RNA is filed under the name uncultured bacterium. RNAcentral describes it as "partial 16S ribosomal RNA". It matches the Rfam family "Bacterial small subunit ribosomal RNA", at positions 28 to 523 of the family's 1533-position model. The record is from RNAcentral.
GACGAACGCUGGCGGCGUGCUUAACACAUGCAAGUCGAGCGAUGAAACACCUUCGGGUGCGGAUUAGCGGCGAACGGGUGAGGAACACGUGAGGAAUCUGCCUUCCACUCUGGGAUAACUCCGGGAAACCGGGGCUAAUACCGGAUACUUUCAACUGGCGGCAUCGCCGGUUGAAGAAAGUUUUUCGGUGGAAGAUGACCUCGCGGCCUAUCAGCUUGUUGGUGAGGUAAAGGCUCACCAAGGCGACGACGGGUAGCCGGCCUGGGAGGGCGAACGGCCACACUAGGACUGAGACACGGCCCAGACUCCUACGGGAGACAGCAGUGGGGAAUAUUGGGCAAUGGAGGAAACUCUGACCCAGCGACGCCGCGUGAGGGAUGAAGGCCUUCGGGUUGUAAACCUCUUUCAGCAGGGAAUAAGCGAAAGUGAAGGUACCUGCAGAAGAAGCACCGGCUAACUAUGUGCCAGCCGCCGCCGUAA